UAGUUAGAUAGUUAGACAGAGAGUGAAGGUUGUUGAGCUGUGUUCUUGGUGUAGAGAGAGAUCUCACAAGAUUUGAGACUAGUGGAACUUGCUGGACUCGGAUCUAGCCCCAGAGAUUAGUGUCUCACAUCGAGUGAGAUACUCGGGGUCGGAGUUUACAAGAAGUGGUAUCAGAGCCAGGUUCUCAAUACAGAUCUCGAUGGCUCUUCCUGUGGUGUCUGCUCAGGUGGAGCGUUUCGACGGAACCAGUGACUUUUCGAUGUGGACUAUCAGGAUGAUGGCACACUUCGGCGUAUCAGGUUUUAAGGAGGUGAUAACCAGCGACAACUUCGGGAUCACCGUUCCAAUCACAAAGAGCGAUGGAAAGAAAUCAGAAGAUGGUGAAGAAGAAGCAUCAUCCGAAACAAAGGUGAUUUUCGAUCCCGUAAAACUUGAGAAAGAUGAACGCGAUCGAGAUAUGAUCAUCGUAUAAUUGGCGAUCAAGUUUUGAGGAAGGUCAAACAUUGUACCAUUGCAGCUUCUAUGUGGUCUAUGCUUGAAAGACUGUAUAUGUCGAAAUCCCUUUCAACAGGGUUCAUGUUCAAUAUCAACUUUACACAUAUAAGUGUGACGGCUCAAAAUCUGUUGAUGAUUUCCUCAAGAUUGUUGCUGAAAUGAGUAGCUUGAAUGUGAUUGUGUAAUAUGAGAUUCAAGCAAUCAUUUUCUUGAAUUCAUUGCCACUGAGUUAUGAUCAACUCAAGCACUCACUAAAGUAUGGCAAAGAGUCACUCACAUUGGAAGAGGUCAUUGCAGCUGCAAGAUCAAAGCAGUGAGAGUUGUCAGAGUCUUCUAGGUUGGAUAAUGGAUCAGCGACAGUACUAUACUUAAGUGAAAUAGGAAGGUCUCCCAAAAGAGACUUCAAAGAUUUCAAAAGAAAUAGAGGCCGAAGUAAAUCGAAGUCCAAGAAUGUCACUUUUGGUAUUGCAAGAAAGAGGAAAUACAAAGAAAGAUUGCUAUGCACGGAACAGAAGAAUGGAAACAAAAGGUGAUGGCGAGUCUGCAGUAGCUAUUGAGCCUACGGGAAACAUGUAUGCUUUGAAUGUUUCUGCACCAGGAUCUAGUGAGGAUUGGGUUAUAGACUCUGGAUGCACACAUAACAUGACCUCGAGACGUGACUGGUUUGUUGAGUUUCAGGAGAAAGGUUCAAGUAAGAUACUUUAUUGGUGAUUAUCACUCAGUGGACACAGUUGGCUCAGGUACUAUCAGGAUUAAUACAAAUGGUGGCACUGUUAAAAUGCUGAAAAGUGUCCGUUAUGUACCAAGUCUGAGAAGGAACCUACUCUCAACGGGUGUUCUUGAUAAUAUGGGGUUUUACUCAUUCAGGAGGACAAGGCAAGAUAGUUUUCAAGAAGAACAACUACCUUUCCCUACAAGGAUUACUGAGUAAUGGUCUGUACAUUCUUGAUGGUUCAACUAUCACCGCAGAAAUUUUUAUGCAGAGAUCUCAGAGACUACAUUAUCUCUUUGGCAUAGUCGCCUGGGUCACAUGAGUGACAGAAACCUCCACGAACUGGUUUAGGGAUGGUAUUCUGAAGAAGAAAGAGGUUGGAAAAGAAGCGUUUUGUGAACACUGCGUUGUUGGUAAAGCAACCAAGUUAGUUUUGAGACCGAGAAGCAUGAUACUAAAGAUGUCCAAGAUUACCUUCAUACUGACUUAUGGGGCUCACCAAAUGUGCACCCCUCUCUCUGGAAACCAAUAUUUCCUAUCCAUUAUUGACGAUCAUUCAAAAAAGGUUAGGCCAUAUUCUUUAAGACAAAGGAUGAUACAUUUGCAAGUUUCUGUGAUUAGAAAUGGCUGGUAGAAAAUCAGAUUGACUGGAAAGUAAAGUGCUUAAGAACUGAUAAUGGCUUGGAGUUUUGUAAUAGUGUUCUCAGGGAUUUCUGCAGGAAGCAUGAGAUCUCUAGACACCACACAUGUACCUACACCCCUCAGAAAAAUGGGGUAGCUGAGAGGAUGAGUAGGACUAUAAUGGAGAAAAUUCGUUGUUUACUUUAUGAAUCAUGUCUUGAUGAGAAUUUUGGGAUGGUGCUGCAGCGAUUGCAGUGCACGUAAUUGAUAUACUAUGGAUUUUACUGGUUUUAGUCAUAGUAUAAAUCAUAUAUAGAGUCUAUAUAUUGUGUUUCGAAUAUGUUUUAGAUUCUUUACAGGUCUAGGUGUGUUUUGGAACAUUGUUGGAUUAUGGAGCCAAUUGGAACUUAAAGAUGAGAAAACUCGUAGCUAUUCAAGAACUAAGAAGUCAGAGACAAGUUUUGGAGGAGUGUCGAUCAACACCUUCCUUGGUGUCGUUCAACACCAACGCAAGUAGAUGGACCAACUCUAUUUCCAGAAUCAAGUAUGGUCAAAAAAAUUAACAUAUUACAAAAUUGCCCCUCGCAAAUUUCAUACCUAAUAUAUAUAGUUUUUAAGCCAUUGUUUAGGCUAAAGAACUUUUAAUUAGAAGCUUUAUUAUUUUUAGAGUUUUGGAGAGAAAAUCAGAGAAUUACUUUAGAGGUUUUGAUUAUAACUCCAAUAUUUAUAUCUUUUUUUUUAAUGCAAUUCAUUCAGUUAUUUUUUA
This is a long non-coding RNA of Brassica napus (rape), 2594 nucleotides long. RefSeq lists it as uncharacterized. The transcript has 2 exons. The record is from RefSeq and is a predicted model, not a curated record. NCBI's taxonomy places the organism in Eukaryota, Viridiplantae, Streptophyta, Magnoliopsida, Brassicales, Brassicaceae.